CCAGCCCUAAAACAGAGCCAUCAAGGCUAGUAACUGGGAAAAGGCAAGCUCUUGGAAACCAGGCUGAUGAGUGUAGAAGGCAAGACGACCUAGGGAGUAAGGGGUUAAAGAAGAAGAGGAAGUGAUGGCUGUGAGCUCUGCUGAGAAGGAAGAGAAAGGAAAAGAGCAACAUGAAGAUAGCAGCUACCACUUACUGGACUCGCUGUGCCAGGCGCUGGUCCAAGGGCCAGCUUCUAGCUGCGAUCUUGCUUCAGCCUCUCCACACUCUGGUUAGAUGACAGAACACUUCAAGAUGUACACAAAGAACAAAAGAAGACAAAUGAAUACUUAGCAAUAUCACAGUUUGUGAUAUUCGGCAUCAACAGUAAUAAAGCACACAGGUCAUGCAUCUGAUCAGUAGCAGACCUGAGAUUUAAACCCAACUCUUAUGAGACCUGGGAGUACACCCCUGUGAUCGAAAUAGAGGUCAACACCACUGCCCCACUUUAAACAUGUGGCACUUUGAGGUGAGAGAGAGAAGCUAGAAAAGAAAUGGAAGUCCGACUCAUUCAGGAAGAGGCACACCGAAAGCGAAAGGUGGCCGAUGACCCGUUUCUCAGUCUCAGACCCUACAGGGAAGCCAAGCAGGUGUGGAGGUGGGAGCUGAGGGGCAGCCGUGUCACAGCCAGGCUGUAAAGGAUGCUGCAAAGUAAGUUGAAAACCUUGAGCAACCAUGGGUGUGGCUAUGCGCAACAAGAUCCAAAAACUACAACUUUUAAAAAAACAGACCAAAGGGGGCUCAGUGGGGUUCAGUGGU
This 796-nucleotide long non-coding RNA is filed under the name Cricetulus griseus (Chinese hamster). RNAcentral describes it as "lncRNA (ENSCGRG00015034340.1)". The record is from RNAcentral. Lineage: Eukaryota; Metazoa; Chordata; Mammalia; Rodentia; Cricetidae.